RNAcentral lists this ribosomal RNA (868 nucleotides) under uncultured bacterium. Its description in RNAcentral is "bacterial SSU rRNA". It matches the Rfam family "Bacterial small subunit ribosomal RNA", at positions 48 to 903 of the family's 1533-position model. The record is from RNAcentral.
UUAACACAUGCAAGUCGAGCGAGAACCAGUCCUUCGGGACUGGGGACAGCGGCGAACGGGUGAGUAACACGUGGGUAAUCUGCCCUCGGCACCGGAAUAGCCCGGGGAAACCCGGAUUAAUGCCGGAUGGCCUCUCCGCCCCUCGGGGCGGUGAGAAAAGGUAGCUUCGGCCUCUGGCCGAGGAUGAGCCCGCGGCCGAUUAGCUUGUUGGUGGGGUAACGGCUCACCAAGGCGACGAUCGGUAGCUGGUCUGAGAGGACGAUCAGCCACACUGGGACUGAGACACGGCCCAGACUCCUACGGGAGGCAGCAGUGGGGAAUCUUGCGCAAUGGGCGAAAGCCUGACGCAGCGACGCCGCGUGCGGGAAGAAGGCCUUCGGGUUGUAAACCGCUUUCAGGAGGGACGAAGCCACUCGGGUGAAUAGCCCAGAGGGUGACGGUACCUCCAGAAGAAGCCCCGGCUAACUACGUGCCAGCAGCCGCGGUAAUACGUAGGGGGCUAGCGUUGUCCGGAUUUAUUGGGCGUAAAGAGCGUGUAGGCGGCCAGGUAGGUCUGGUGUGAAAACUCGAGGCUUAACCUCGAGAUGUCAUCGGAAACCACCUGGCUAGAGUCCGGAAGAGGAAAGUGGAAUUCCUGGUGUAGCGGUGAAAUGCGCAGAUAUCAGGAAGAACACCAAUGGCGAAAGCAGCUUUCUGGGACGGUACUGACGCUGAGACGCGAAAGCGUGGGGAGCGAACAGGAUUAGAUACCCUGGUAGUCCACGCCGUAAACGAUGGGCGCUAGGUGUGGGCGGUGUCGACUCCGUCCGUGCCGAAGCUAACGCAUUAAGCGCCCCGCCUGGGGAGUACGGCCGCAAGGCUAAACUCA